Molecule: long non-coding RNA, 3113 nt
Organism: Lolium perenne
Lineage: Eukaryota; Viridiplantae; Streptophyta; Magnoliopsida; Poales; Poaceae
Source: RefSeq, a predicted model, not a curated record
UCGAGUGAGUGCCACGUCCUUCGUCAUCUUCAUUGUCUCGCCAUGCUCUACCUCUGCCAUAUUCCCCUGCUCUGGAUUCUUCCCCUACAUGAGUUCUUCCGUGGCCGGGUACUCCGUCGCCUGGUCAGCGGACUUGCUUUUAGGUUUUCCGACGCCGUGUUCAUCGCCGAGGCCGCUCCGUCCGUCCGUGAUUCAGCAGACCAGUUCGGUUGGCGCUCUAGCCUCUCCCUCUUCCGCUCCAUCAGGUGGGCACAAGGUGCUGCUCUAGAUCUCCUCCCGAUGGGCCGUGGCAUGGAUUGGGUCCUCUAACGUCCCAGCCGUGCUGAUUCGUCCGCCGUCUUAUCUCGAGGGGGGCUUGGGGUGGAGGCGACGCUGUGGCAUGGAGGCGGGGCGGCGAGCAGGGAGAGGCAAGGAUGGUGAUGCUCUCGCCCACCACGGUCCGGCGGCCACCGGUGGUUACGCCCGCCGGGCGUCCAUACGUCGGCUCCAUGGCUACUUCUGUCCGCCGGCGUGCGUCGGGGUUUGCUAGCAGUUUCGGGCGGUACCAGCAGCGGCGGGGUUCCGGUGAGCACCACAGAAGGACGGGAGAGCUCCUUCCCCUGCUAGCACGUUGAGCAAUUGCAUGUCCUGGUGAGGAUGAAGACUAGCUGGAGGACUUGGUUUUGGUCUAAGAGGUAGAGCAUGAAGGCCACUGCGCAGAAGUUGCGCAACCAAAGUAAGGUGGUUUACCAAAUAAUUGACCUUGCUGAUGAUUAUUUUCUUGAAAGGUGAGCUAUGAUUGAAUCACAUGGUGCUCUAUCAGAUUAUAAGGUAUAAUUAGUUGUCUUUGUUUCCUUCAUGUUCAUUCAAUUGGUUUACUUACAAGCUGCCAUUAUUUUUUCAUCGCAUUAUAAUAUAUAUUAUUAGCUAUUCUGACUUGUGAGUUCAUGUUUGUCGAAGGAAGUUGGAUGCAGUGGACUCUAACUUGGCUCAUGAGAAUCUUACUGAUAUGCAAAUAAACGAGUUAUUUUGAAUUGAGUGAUUGCACAAACUAUGUAGGAUGUUACAACCAGAAGUAAAUAAAUUAUUUUGAAAAACAUGUACUAUGUAUGAUCACAACUCGCCAUACAAUCAUUUCAUUGUAAAUUAUAAUGCAUGAUACAAAUGCUACAAAAUGACAUGUACAGUAUUUUUCAGCUGACACUAAAUGUUGCAGCCUACGUUGUCUCCAAACUUCCAUUUUAUCACUCUGACUACAUCGAUAUCUUUGAGUUAGCUUCUCCAAUUCAGUUGUUGUGGCUUUCUUUGUCAAUAAAAAAUGCCUUAAUUCUGCGAUUAGAUGUUUUUGAUACAUAGGAUUGUGAAGUUUUUGUUGGACAUUAUCUUCUUGUGGUCCAUACUGGAAACGAUGACGACCGUCUCUGGCUCUUCUGCUUAUUUUUUAUUGAUAAUGAUCUGAUGUUACUUGAGCGCAGUGUCGCGGAUUUGGGCGAUCGGGAUUUUCUUUGUGUGGUGCUGCACUGCGUUGUGACCUGCGUUUUCUUUGGUCGGGGUUUGAUUUGGGUCAUCAUCUUGCCGAUUAAUUUUCCUCGAUCUUUUGCUUUUUUUGCUUCUUUGCUCGGAUUAUUUGAGUGUUGCUUUUUGAUUCUGUAAAAAGAUUUUUCCCUUGUGCACGUUGUUGGACUAGGCUGCUACUUUUAUGAGUGAUCCACAUUUUGCUGGCUAUCGUCGAGGUGUCUCUCCUUCUGCCUCAAGAUGGUCAAUUUGCCUUACUGAUUCUGAGUUCAGACAGUUAUUGUAGAAGAUACAUGUUUCAGACAUAAUGUCUAAGAUUGCAGAUUUGCUUCUCCCCUUGCUGUCAGUUCAUCUACCGCAACAUCACAUUCUGAUUCCAUGUGGACUUGUUUAAACAAGAAUAGCAAUGAUAGAUUUAAUUCGCUCCCGACGACGAUCAAGAACUCACAAUGCUGACAAGAUUGUUCUACCAUUGUCAUAUCUAAAGACAGGUACCUAGGCUUCACAUUAUUCUUCAAUAGAAUAGCUGGCAGCUUAUUCAAUCCUGCAUCAGCUUUCCUCCCAAGAUUCCUUACUUCUUCUUACUGUUGGCAAAUUAAUUUCCGAGGAAAACAGUGGCCUUCUUUUCCUUAUUAUGUGAGUCAUUGUUCAACGAUUUACUCUCCUAAAACAAAGCUAAGUAUCAUUCCCGAAACAGGGCCAAUUGUUCAAUUCUGCAUUUCCUGUCACCGAAGAUAAAGAGUUAUUUUGUAAGUGCCAACAUCUCCACCAAAGAGAAGCUUUGAAAUCAUAUCAUUGUUGUACUGACUUGAAGGACUAGAACCCAGUCAGUAAGUAAGCUACUGAAUUUGCUAUCCAUAGGCAAGGUCCAAUGUUAUUUUAAGCGGUGUCAAAGACCUCUACCUUUUGAACAAACCGCCAUCCCACAAGUGAUAAGUGGGAAUCAGAUCCAAGCUUACACGUCGGUCGGUGAGUAAUGAGAGCAUACUAUAUAUUGUCUUGCAAAGUGCUUGCAACAGAAUUAUGCAUUUAGAGUUCUUCAGUUGCAGGCUCGAGGUGAUGAUACCAUACAUUGUUUUGCAUGCCGCAGCAUAUGUUAUUUGUCAAAACGUACUAGAGAAAAACAAGAUUGAAUUAAUAGCUCAAUCAGUUUUUAGUUUGCAAGGCUAAACGUAGUGCUCUAAAGUAUUCAUGAAUUUCUGCUAAAAGUCCGUCUCUCUCCAUUCUUUUCUGUUUCCAUAUGUGUGUAUGUAUCUCUAUGCUUGAUGGAUUCACUUGCACGCAGGUUACAGGGACAAUUUACACUAAUUAAGUUAAGGAUGUCUUGCUUCGAGCCCAUCAAUGGAAAUAUUCUAUGUGCAUCAGCAGUGACGGCUCUGCCUGCUCUGCCCAUCAACAGCCAUUCAGAUUAGAGUCGCAGAUGAUCUGUCCCCUCUAUAUGUCCCCUCUAUAGUUUAGCUCAAGCCAAUGUACAAACCUGCAGAACAGCCCCAUCUGUUUCAGGCCAGUGGGAAGAUGUAUCGGCGCCCUCUAAACCAUGUAAUAUUGUCGUCUGGCCCAGUCCGGUGAACUGGCAUAUUCUCCGUAUAAUCCAGUGUGAAUGUUGUUAUUCACCUAAG